RNAcentral lists this ribosomal RNA (263 nucleotides) under uncultured bacterium. RNAcentral describes it as "partial 16S ribosomal RNA". It matches the Rfam family "Bacterial small subunit ribosomal RNA", at positions 91 to 354 of the family's 1533-position model. The record is from RNAcentral.
CCCAGUGGCGGACGGGUGAGUGACGCGUGGGUAACCUGCCCUGUACAGGGGGACAACAGCCGGAAACGGCUGCUAAUACCGCAUAAGCCCGCGGCGCCGCAUGGCGCUGCGGGGAAAACUCCGGUGGUACAGGAUGGGCCCGCGUCUGAUUAGCUAGUUGGCGGGGUAACGGCCCACCAAGGCAGCGAUCAGUAGCCGGCUUGAGAGAGUGGACGGCCACAUUGGGACUGAGACACGGCCCAGACUCCUACGGGAGGCAGCAG